CCGAAGUCGUACGUCUGGAUGGACUGCCGGCGACACGGUACCGGGAGGAAGGUGGGAUGACGUCAAGUCAUCAUGGCCCUUAUGUCCAGGGCGACACACGUGCUACAAUGGCCGGCACAGCGGGAAGCGAGGGGGCGACCUUGAGCGGAUCCCUCAAAGCCGGUCUCAGUUCGGAUUGCAGUCUGCAACUCGACUGCAUGAAGUUGGAAUCGCUAGUAAUCGUGGAUCAGCCAAGCCGCGGUCGAAUACGUUCCCGGGCCUU
Molecule: ribosomal RNA, 262 nt
Filed under: uncultured Thermovirga sp.
Lineage: Bacteria; Thermotogati; Synergistota; Synergistia; Synergistales; Thermovirgaceae
Description: partial 16S ribosomal RNA
Rfam family: Bacterial small subunit ribosomal RNA
Source: RNAcentral